UGUGCGCUAGGGAUUGCAGCGGCAUCCUUUUUAGUGCUUUUCUGCACAAAAAAGAUAUAGCGAAAAGCCCGCCCGAGC
This 78-nucleotide small RNA is filed under the name Cochleicola gelatinilyticus. RNAcentral describes it as "Ulvibacter sp. LPB0005 Flavo-1 RNA". It matches the Rfam family "Flavo-1 RNA". Lineage: Bacteria; Pseudomonadati; Bacteroidota; Flavobacteriia; Flavobacteriales; Flavobacteriaceae. The record is from Rfam by way of RNAcentral.